This 465-nucleotide ribosomal RNA is filed under the name uncultured bacterium. RNAcentral describes it as "partial 16S ribosomal RNA". It matches the Rfam family "Bacterial small subunit ribosomal RNA", at positions 338 to 795 of the family's 1533-position model. The record is from RNAcentral.
CCUACGGGAGGCAGCAGUGGGGAAUAUUGCGCAAUGGGCGAAAGCCUGACGCAGCGACGCCGCGUGAGGGAUGAAGGUCUUCGGAUCUUAAACCUCUUUCAGCAGGGAAGAACGGUCACUGUGCUAAUCAGCAGUGAAUUGACGGUACCUGCAAAGGAAGCACCGGCUAACUCCGUCCCAGCAGCCGCGGUAAUACGGAGGGUGCGAGCGUUAAUCGGUAUUACUGGGCGUAAAGCGCUCGUAGGCGGUAUGUCAAGUCAAGUGUGAAAUCCCCGCGCUCAACGUGGGAACUGCCUUUGAAACUGGCAAGCUGGAGUGUGUGAGAGGAUAGUGGAAUUCCAGGUGUAGGGGUGAAAUGCGUAGAUAUCUGGAGGAACAUCAGUGGCGAAGGCGACUAUCUGGCACAUAACUGACGCUGAGGAGCGAAAGCGUGGGUAGCAAACAGGAUUAGAUACCCGGGUAGUC